UAUAUUGCUAUGAACAGAAAUAUUAAGAAUCAAAUAAACUUCCAGAGAGUCGGGAUUGCUGGGAACCGAUAGUUUUUAGAUUUUGAACUCAUCUGUGAGCAGUCGCCUGAAGUUACUGUAGGGUAGAACGGAAUUCCACCGUUAUAUGGAUAGAUAGUACGAACCAUUUAUAGUGGAGUGCUAUUGAAAAAGUGAACUUUAAGUUAAGUUAAAUAGAGUGGUACCGCGAGUAAACCUCGUCUCUUUC
This 247-nucleotide non-coding RNA is filed under the name Clostridium acetobutylicum. Its description in RNAcentral is "T-box sequence". It matches the Rfam family "T-box leader". Rfam says of the family: Uncharged tRNA acts as the effector for transcription antitermination of genes in the T-box leader family. T-boxes are found upstream of many aminoacyl-tRNA synthetase genes and some amino acid biosynthetic genes usually in Gram-positive bacteria. The record is from RNAcentral. Lineage: Bacteria; Bacillati; Bacillota; Clostridia; Eubacteriales; Clostridiaceae.